CGGCGGACGGGUGAGUAACGCGUGGGUAACCUACCCUGUACACACGGAUAACAUACCGAAAGGUAUGCUAAUACGGGAUAAUAUAUUUGAGAGGCAUCUCUCGAAUAUCAAAGGUGAGCCAGUACAGGAUGGACCCGCGUCUGAUUAGCUAGUUGGUAAGGUAACGGCUUACCAAGGCGACGAUCAGUAGCCGACCUGAGAGGGUGAUCGGCCACAUUGGAACUGAGACACGGUCCAA
This 238-nucleotide ribosomal RNA is filed under the name uncultured bacterium. RNAcentral's name for it is "partial 16S ribosomal RNA". It matches the Rfam family "Bacterial small subunit ribosomal RNA", at positions 96 to 334 of the family's 1533-position model. The record is from RNAcentral.